GACCGAAAGGCAAGAGCUUACUUACAAACCCUAGUGUAUUCUAAUGAUUAUCGUGGCUUGUGUUCAGCCAUUUUCGAUCCAUGGAAAGUGUUAAUCGACAUUUUAAUAACAUUAUUGGUUGUAUUGUGAGACUUCAGAGGACGUUGUUAAAAAGUCCCUCAUCAGUUCUGGAAAGCUGUAUGGAUGGGAGGUGGAAAUGGUUCAAGGGUUGUUUAGGAGCAUUCGGCUGCGAGGAAUGUCAUUGAGAGAUCAUUUGGUCUAUUGAAGAGGCGAUGGGCAAUAUUGCGAAGUCAUUAUUAUUAUCCGAUAAAAGUCCAUAAUAUGAUUAUCGUGGCUUGUGUUCUGCUACAUAACUUUAUUAGACCUGAAUCGGAAAACGAUCCAUUUGAAAUUGAUAAUCUUGAAGAAUAUGAGGUUGAAGAAGGAGAACAAAAUGAAAAUAAUGAAGUUGAAACAAUAACAUCCAUGGGAACAUCAAAUGAGCGGUCUCAAUUUAGAGCAAAUUUAGCAAGUACUAUGUAUAAUCAUAGUCUUGCAAGUGGAAACAAUACAUGAAUUUACUAAUGAACAUCUUGGUGACAGAUUACAAAUUGAAGAUUGAGAGAUUUAAAGGAUGCUGAUCGAUCAUUGACGGGAGAAGCCAGUGUUGCUGGAGCAUUGGAAUCAAAGUUGAGAAUGUAAUCAAGUAAGCGAC
Asparagus officinalis (garden asparagus) is the source of this 694-nucleotide long non-coding RNA. RefSeq lists it as uncharacterized. The transcript has 4 exons. Lineage: Eukaryota; Viridiplantae; Streptophyta; Magnoliopsida; Asparagales; Asparagaceae. The record is from RefSeq and is a predicted model, not a curated record.